This 255-nucleotide ribosomal RNA is filed under the name uncultured bacterium. RNAcentral describes it as "partial 16S ribosomal RNA". It matches the Rfam family "Bacterial small subunit ribosomal RNA", at positions 99 to 354 of the family's 1533-position model. The record is from RNAcentral.
CGGACGGGUGAGUAACGCGUGGGCAACCUGCCCCAUGCCGGGGGAUACCGCCUGGAAACAGGCGCUAAUACCGCAUAAGCGCAUACAGCCGCAUGGCAGUAUGCGGAAAGCUCCGGCGGCAUGGGAUGGGCCCGCGCCCGAUUAGCCAGUUGGCGGGGUAACGGCCCACCAAAGCGACGAUCGGUAGCCGGCCUGAGAGGGCGGACGGCCACAUUGGGACUGAGACACGGCCCAAACUCCUACGGGAGGCAGCAG